This 440-nucleotide ribosomal RNA is filed under the name uncultured bacterium. RNAcentral describes it as "partial 16S ribosomal RNA". It matches the Rfam family "Bacterial small subunit ribosomal RNA", at positions 338 to 795 of the family's 1533-position model. The record is from RNAcentral.
CCUACGGGAGGCAGCAGUAGGGAAUCUUCCACAAUGGGCGAAAGCCUGAUGGAGCAACGCCGCGUGGGGGAUGACGGUUUUCGGAUUGUAAAAUCCUUUUGUUAGAGAAGAUAAUGACGGUAUCUAACGAAUAAGCACCGGCUACCCCCGUGCCAGCAGCCGUGGUCAUACGGAGGGUGCAAGCGUUACUCGGAAUCACUGGGCGUAAAGAGCGCGUAGGCGGGAUAGCAAGUCAGAUGUGAAAUCCUAUGGCUUAACCAUAGAACUGCAUUUGACACUGGUAUUCUAGAGUAUGGGAGAGGUAGGUGGAAUUCUUGGUGUAGGGGUAAAAUCCGUAGAGAUCAAGAGGAAUACUCAUUGCGAAGGCGACCUGCUAGAACAUAACUGACGCUGAGGCGCGAAAGCGUGGGGAGCAAACAGGAUUAGAUACCCCUGUAGUC